Molecule: ribosomal RNA, 206 nt
Filed under: uncultured bacterium
Lineage: Bacteria
Description: partial 16S ribosomal RNA
Rfam family: Bacterial small subunit ribosomal RNA
Source: RNAcentral
UGCGUAGGCGGCUCUCUAAGUCGGAUGUGAAAACUCUGGGCUCAACCCAGCGCCUGCAUCCGAAACUGGAGGGCUAGGGUUCUGGAGGGGAAAGCGGAAUUCCUGGUGUAGCGGUGAAAUGCGUAGAUAUCAGGAGGAACACCGGUGGCGAAGGCGGCUUUCUGGACAGAUACCGACGCUGAGGCACGAAAGCUGGGAGGCAAACA